AGUUGGGACAUCUGCCAUCCCAUUGAUUGCCAGGAUUGAUUGGAUUGAACUGGCUGGCUAGACAAAUAUUUCUCCCUCACCUCUCUAUGUGCAUCCAUCCUGAAUUUUUGCUCUUGAGAAUGACCAUUGUCCGCAUGAGAAGUGUAUGAUUCUCAGGGCAAUAUAUUGUUCUUUGGUAUAUAUGAUACCAGAGUAAAUUGUACUUUGGUAUAAACCUGUGAUGGUGAACCUAUGGCAUGCAUGCCAGAAGUGGCACACAGAGCCAUCUCUCCAGGCAU
RNAcentral lists this small nuclear RNA (278 nucleotides) under Notechis scutatus (mainland tiger snake). Its description in RNAcentral is "7SK RNA (ENSNSUG00000014679.1)". It matches the Rfam family "7SK RNA". From Rfam's summary of the family: 7SK was discovered as an abundant small nuclear RNA in the mid-70s but a possible function has only recently been suggested. Two independent studies have found that 7SK RNA binds the CDK9/cyclin T complex (known as elongation factor P-TEFb). Lineage: Eukaryota; Metazoa; Chordata; Lepidosauria; Squamata; Elapidae. The record is from RNAcentral.